GAUGAACGCUGGCGGCGUGCCUAAUACAUGCAAGUCGAGCGAACGGACGAGAAGCUUGCUUCUCUGAUGUUAGCGGCGGACGGGUGAGUAACACGCGGAUAACCUACCUAUAAGACUGGGAUAACUUCGGGAAACCGAAGCUAAUACCGGAUGAUAUUUUGAACCGCAUGGUUCAAAAGUGAAAGACGGUCUUGCUGUCACUUAUAGAUGGAUCCGCGCUGCAUUAGCUAGUUGGUAAGGUAACGGCUUACCAAGGCAACGAUGCAUAGCCGACCUGAGAGGGUGAUCGGCCACACUGGAACUGAGACACGGUCCAGACUCCUACGGGAGGCAGCAGUAGGGAAUCUUCCGCAAUGGGCGAAAGCCUGACGGAGCAACGCCGCGUGAGUGAUGAAGGUCUUCGGAUCGUAAAACUCUGUUAUUAGGGAAGAACAUAUGUGUAAGUAACUGUGCACAUCUUGACGGUACCUAAUCAGAAAGCCACGGCUAACUACGUG
This 497-nucleotide ribosomal RNA is filed under the name uncultured bacterium. RNAcentral's name for it is "partial 16S ribosomal RNA". It matches the Rfam family "Bacterial small subunit ribosomal RNA", at positions 28 to 507 of the family's 1533-position model. The record is from RNAcentral.